GAAGGCAGCAGGCGCGUAAAUUACCCAAUCCUGAUUCAGGGAGGUAGUGACAAGAUAUAACGACGCGACCAAAAAUCGCGAUUGUAGUGAGGGUAUUCCAAACCGAACCACUAGUACGAUUGGAGGGCAAGUCUGGUGCCAGCAGCCGCGGUAAUUCCAGCUCCAAUAGCGUAUAUUAAAGUUGUUGCAGUUAAAAAGCUCGUAGUUGGAUUUCAAGGGUCACAGUGUGUUCGCACAUUGUACUCUACCAGUCUUUGACUGUUACUGUGAGAAAAUUAGAGUGUUUCAAGCAGGCUAUUGCAGGAAUACAUUAGCAUGGAAUA
This 323-nucleotide ribosomal RNA is filed under the name Arcuospathidium cultriforme. RNAcentral's name for it is "SSU rRNA". It matches the Rfam family "Eukaryotic small subunit ribosomal RNA", at positions 421 to 816 of the family's 1831-position model. Lineage: Eukaryota; Ciliophora; Litostomatea; Haptorida; Spathidiidae. The record is from RNAcentral.